AGUGAACGCUGGCGGCAGGCCUAACACAUGCAAGUCGAACGGCAGCACAGAGGAGCUUGCUCCUUGGGUGGCGAGUGGCGGACGGGUGAGGAUAGCGUCGGAAUCUGCCUAUUUGUGGGGGAUAACGUAGGGAAACUUACGCUAAUACCGCAUACGACCUACGGGUGAAAGCGGAGAACCUUCGGGCUUCGCGCAGAUAG
Molecule: ribosomal RNA, 200 nt
Filed under: uncultured bacterium
Lineage: Bacteria
Description: partial 16S ribosomal RNA
Rfam family: Bacterial small subunit ribosomal RNA
Source: RNAcentral